GACGAACGCUGGCGGCGUGCCUAAUACAUGCAAGUUGAGCGCUGAAGGUUGGUACUUGUACCAACUGGAUGAGCAGCGAACGGGUGAGUAACGCGUGGGGAAUCUGCCUUUGAGCGGGGGACAACAUUUGGAAACGAAUGCUAGUACCGCAUAAAAACUUUAAACACAAGUUUUAAGUUUGAAAGAUGCAAUUGCAUCACUCAAAGAUGAUCCCGCGUUGUAUUAGCUAGUUGGUGAGGUAAAGGCUCACCAAGGCGAUGAUACAUAGCCGACCUGAGAGGGUGAUCGGCCACAUUGGGACUGAGACACGGCCCAAACUCCUACGGGAGGCAGCAGUAGGGAAUCUUCGGCAAUGGACGAAAGUCUGACCGAGCGACGCCGCGUGAGUGAAGAAGGUUUUCGGAUCGUAAAACUCUGUUGGUAGAGAAGAACGUUGGUGAGAGUGGAAAGCUCAUCAAGUGACGGUAACUACCCAGAAAGGGGCGGCUAACUACGUG
RNAcentral lists this ribosomal RNA (497 nucleotides) under uncultured bacterium. RNAcentral's name for it is "partial 16S ribosomal RNA". It matches the Rfam family "Bacterial small subunit ribosomal RNA", at positions 28 to 507 of the family's 1533-position model. The record is from RNAcentral.